Molecule: ribosomal RNA, 463 nt
Filed under: uncultured bacterium
Lineage: Bacteria
Description: bacterial SSU rRNA
Rfam family: Bacterial small subunit ribosomal RNA
Source: RNAcentral
AUUGAACGCUGGCGGCAGGCCUAACACAUGCAAGUCGAGCGGAAACGACAACAUUGAUUCUUCGGAUGAUUUAUUGGGCGUCGAGCGGCGGACGGGUGAGUAAUGCCUGGGAAAUUGCCCUGAUGUGGGGGAUAACUAUUGGAAACGAUAGCUAAUACCGCAUAAUGCCUUCGGGCCAAAGAGGGGGACCUUCGGGCCUCUCGCGUCAGGAUAUGCCCAGGUGGGAUUAGCUAGUUGGUGAGGUAAUGGCUCACCAAGGCGACGAUCCCUAGCUGGUCUGAGAGGAUGAUCAGCCACACUGGAACUGAGACACGGUCCAGACUCCUACGGGAGGCAGCAGUGGGGAAUAUUGCACAAUGGGCGCAAGCCUGAUGCAGCCAUGCCGCGUGUAUGAAGAAGGCCUUCGGGUUGUAAGUACUUUCAGUCGUGAGGAAGGUUCAUGCGUUAAUAGCGUAUGGAUUUG